CCUACGGGUGGCAGCAGUGAGGAAUAUUGGUCAAUGGACGAGAGUCUGAACCAGCCAAGUAGCGUGAAGGAUGACUGCCCUAUGGGUUGUAAACUUCUUUUAUAGGGGAAUAAAAUGUGCCACGUGUGGGAUGUUGUAUGUACCAUAUGAAUAAGGAUCGGCUAACUCCGUGCCAGCAGCCGCGGUAAUACGGAGGAGCCGAGCGUUAUCCGGAUUGAGUGGGUUUACAGGGAGCGUAGGUGGCUUGUUAAGUCAGUGGUGAAAGUUUGCGGCUCAACCGUAAAAUUGCAGUUGAAACUGGCAGUCUUGAGUACAGUAGCGGUUGGCCGAAUUCGUGGUGUAGCGGUGAACUGCUUAGCUAUCACGAAGAACUCCGAUUUC
Molecule: ribosomal RNA, 381 nt
Filed under: uncultured bacterium
Lineage: Bacteria
Description: partial 16S ribosomal RNA
Rfam family: Bacterial small subunit ribosomal RNA
Source: RNAcentral